AACGAACGCUGGCGGCAUGCUUAACACAUGCAAGUCGAACGGAAUGCUUCGGCAUUCAGUGGCGCACGGGUGAGUAACACGUGGGAACCUACCCUGGGAUGGGGAAUAACCACUGGAAACGGUGGCUAAUACCGCAUACGCCUACGGGGAAAGGCUCGGCCGUCCGAGGAGGGGCCCGGCGCCCGAUUAGCUUGUUGGUGGGGUAAGUGGCCUACCAAGGCUACGAUCGGUAGCUGGUCUGAGAGGAUGAUCAGCCACACUGGGACUGAGAUACGGCCCAGACUCCUACGGGAGGCAGCAGUGGGGAAUAUUGGACAAUGGGCGAAAGCCUGAUCCAGCAAUGCCGCGUGAGUGAUGAAGGCCUUAGGGUUGUAAAG
Molecule: ribosomal RNA, 377 nt
Filed under: uncultured bacterium
Lineage: Bacteria
Description: bacterial SSU rRNA
Rfam family: Bacterial small subunit ribosomal RNA
Source: RNAcentral